This 463-nucleotide long non-coding RNA is filed under the name Salvia miltiorrhiza (redroot sage). RNAcentral's name for it is "long non-coding RNA (SMIL_LNC000485)". Lineage: Eukaryota; Viridiplantae; Streptophyta; Magnoliopsida; Lamiales; Lamiaceae. The record is from RNAcentral.
ACGACAAGAACUCUUCUUUUAGAGAGAGAGUGAGAGAGAGAGGGGGCCGAGAAAGAAAGAGAGAGGAGAAAUAACAUCGGUUUAUUUUUGAGAGAGAGGAGAGCAUUCACGGCCGAAGGUAAAUUUGAAUGAUUAUUUUUUUUUUGCUUUGUUUGUGUUUCUCCCAUGUUUGAAUGAGAAUCAAACUAUAUAGAAGAUUAUUUGAUAAAUUUUUAUAUACUUCACUAGGUUCCCUCGUGGCACGAAUUCACGGCUACCAUGGCUUCUUCUUCAAACCAAGUAAGCAUCCUAUUUCGUUGAUUUUAAAUUCGGAUCAAAUAUUUUAAUUCUUUGAAGCAUGUUAUUUUCCACAACAAGUUGAAGCAUGUUAUCUUCGUGAAUAAGGCUAUUAGUUUGAAGCAUGUUAUUUUCGUGUAGUCAUUUUGGUGACAUUGUUUAAUUCGAAUUACUUGUGUUUAAUUAU